UUAGGUAGAGGUUGCGGAAAACAUGAGUACCCUGUUUGAGCUUGGACGGAGCGUUGAUGACAGAAAAAAGGGAAUUUCGCCGAAAGAUUUAAAAGUGUCAAAUUUAAAUCUUGGGCAUAUGAAAAAUAUUCAUAUGACUGACAUCAGUUUUAAAAAUUGAUGUAGCGCUAUCA
RNAcentral lists this non-coding RNA (173 nucleotides) under uncultured Fusobacterium sp. Its description in RNAcentral is "Lysine riboswitch". It matches the Rfam family "Lysine riboswitch aptamer". From Rfam's summary of the family: Riboswitches are metabolite binding domains within certain messenger RNAs that serve as precision sensors for their corresponding targets. Lineage: Bacteria; Fusobacteriati; Fusobacteriota; Fusobacteriia; Fusobacteriales; Fusobacteriaceae. The record is from RNAcentral.